CAGUAGCCGCGGUAAUACCGAGGGUGCGAGCGUUAAUCGGAUUUACUGGGCGUAAAGCGUGCGUAGGCGGCUUCUUAAGUCGGAUGUGAAAUCCCUGAGCUUAACUUAGGAAUUGCAUUCGAUACUGGGAAGCUAGAGUAUGGGAGAGGAUGGUAGAAUUCCAGGUGUAGCGGUGAAAUGCGUAGAGAUCUGGAGGAAUACCGAUGGCGAAGGCAGCCAUCUGGCCUAAUACUGACGCUGAGGUACGAAAGCAUGGGGAGCAAACAGGAUUAGAGACCCCAGUAGUCCCUGUCUCUUAUAC
RNAcentral lists this ribosomal RNA (301 nucleotides) under uncultured bacterium. Its description in RNAcentral is "partial 16S ribosomal RNA". It matches the Rfam family "Bacterial small subunit ribosomal RNA", at positions 509 to 807 of the family's 1533-position model. The record is from RNAcentral.